This 116-nucleotide ribosomal RNA is filed under the name Acophila mikii. RNAcentral describes it as "partial 16S ribosomal RNA". The record is from RNAcentral. Lineage: Eukaryota; Metazoa; Arthropoda; Insecta; Hymenoptera; Epichrysomallidae.
AAGAUUUUAAUAGUCGAACAGACUAAUUAUAUUAAUAUCUUCAUUAAUAAAAAAUCUUAAUUCAACAUCGAGGUCGCAAUCUUAAUUAUCAAUAUGAACUAUUUAAUUAAAUUACG